UCCUGAAUUGGGACAGGCGCACAAAUGCGACGGGAUUAAACAUGUUUCGUGAGAUCACAACCCUCCUCUAUACCUCUAGCCAAUAAAGAAUGAAAAACACACAAUAAUACGAACAGUAAAACGCACUUGAAAAGGAAAUACAAGUCCUAUGUCAGAAUAGGAAACAAACGAAACUAAUCAAAAUGACAAUGAUAAUAAAUCAACAAAAGACUACUAUAUAUAAAGCUAGCAGUUACUGCCAUACGCCAGCUCCAGACCUCAAUUAAACUGAUUGAAAGGUUAU
This 283-nucleotide long non-coding RNA is filed under the name Mytilus galloprovincialis (Mediterranean mussel). Lineage: Eukaryota; Metazoa; Mollusca; Bivalvia; Mytilida; Mytilidae. The record is from RNAcentral.